AUAGGGCCUCAAUGUCAGCUGGAGACAUUCUGAUUUAAUUGGUAUUGAGUAUGCUUUAGGCAUCAGGGUUGUUGGUAAAGUUCCCCAGGCGAUUCCAAUGUGCAGCAAAGUUUGGGAAUGACUGAAUUAGGGUUAAGAUCAGAAUCAUCUGGGAUGCUUUUAUCCAUAUAAUGAUGUCUCAGAUACUUCCUCAUUUUCCUAAAAGGCUUGUGAUUGCCCAGAGUUGGAGGGAAGGUGGAACUGGGAAGAUGCACGUGUUUGCAGACAUAUAUUUUGAAGAAACACUGUCCUGAAAAAUCCAUAUAUCAUUGACAUCAACUUCUUCAACUGCUUGCUGAAAAGAGCAACCAAAUGGCUGAAAUAACAGCGGAUGGCUGGGAUGCUUUUAGCAUACGGGGAUCUGUCACUCAGCCCUUGGCAGCCUCGUUGUA
Molecule: long non-coding RNA, 431 nt
Organism: Sapajus apella (tufted capuchin)
Lineage: Eukaryota; Metazoa; Chordata; Mammalia; Primates; Cebidae
Exons: 3
Source: RefSeq, a predicted model, not a curated record